This 253-nucleotide ribosomal RNA is filed under the name uncultured bacterium. RNAcentral's name for it is "partial 16S ribosomal RNA". It matches the Rfam family "Bacterial small subunit ribosomal RNA", at positions 524 to 776 of the family's 1533-position model. The record is from RNAcentral.
UACGAAGGGGGCUAGCGUUGUUCGGAAUCACUGGGCGUAAAGGGCGCGUAGGCGGAUUGGUAAGUCAGUGGUGAAAGGCUUAAGCUUAACUUGGGAACUGCCAUUGAUACUAUCAGUCUUGAAUGUUGUUGAGGUUUGCGGAAUGGGUCAUGUAGCGGUGAAAUGCAUAGAUAUGACCCGGAACACCUAUUGCGAAGGCAGCAGGCUAAACAAAUAUUGACGCUGAGGCUCGAAAGCGUGGGGAUCAAACAGG